This 548-nucleotide ribosomal RNA is filed under the name uncultured bacterium. RNAcentral's name for it is "bacterial SSU rRNA". It matches the Rfam family "Archaeal small subunit ribosomal RNA", at positions 724 to 1269 of the family's 1478-position model. The record is from RNAcentral.
AGUGAAUAGAUACCCCGGUAGUCCUGGCUGUAAACGAUGUGCGUUAGGUGUCGGUAGGGCUAGGAGCCGUGCCGGUGCCGCAGAGAAAUCGUUAAACGCACCGCCUGGGAAGUACGCUCGCAAGAGUGAAACUUAAAGGAAUUGGCGGGGGAGCACCACAAGGGGUGAAGCCUGCGGUUCAAUUGGACUCAACGCCGGGAAGCUUACCAGGGGCGACAGCAGAAUGAAGGUCAGGCUGACGACCUUACCAGACAAGCUGAGCGGAGGUGCAUGGCCGUCGCCAGUUCGUGCCGUGAGGUAUCCUGUUAAGUCAGGCAACGAACGAGACCCACACGCUUAGUUGCCAGCAACCGUCUUCGGAUGGGUUGGGAACGCUAAGUGAACCGCCGUCGUACAGACGGAGGAAGGGGUGGGCCACGGCAGGUCAGUAUGCCCCUAAUCCCCUGGGCCACACGCGGGCUGCAAUGGUAGGGACAGUGGGCUGCAACACCGAAAGGUGGAGCCAAUCUCCAAACCCGUAUCUCAGUUAGGAUUGUCGGCUGCAACUC